GAGAGGGGAGCAGGGGGCACUGUGGCUCUGCACCAGCCCUGAGCACCAACGGGCAUCAGACCCUCCGUGCAAUGCUUGGAAAUACCACAGCACUCAGCUCUGAGGCACAAGGAGAGCAGGGCCCCUUGGGAACUUGCAGUUCAACAAAAGUUCACCAAAACAGCUAAGUCCCCACGCAAUAUGCGCUUUGAGUAAUUAACAUCUGACAUAAUUGUGCUGGGUUGGAGUGCCCGACCAGCAAACAAAGCCCAUGGUUUGCUUGUGCUUUGUAUCCACAUGGUGCUGGAACAUUGUGUGCUGCUGCACCGUGCAUCUGGCAGCUGCAAAGCCAUCACCGUUCAGACACCUCUUGCAGCCUCCUACCUUUGCACUGUUAAAACCAUUUGAAUAAUGCAAGAGAAGGUUUUAGUCAAUGCUUUUGUGUUCAGGUCCAAUAAAAACAUUGUGGUGGAGCAUUUUCCAGAAAAUGCAGUCUUCAGUGCAACAAGAAACCUUAUCUGCAAUCUAGAAUGCAGAGGGGAAAAAAAACCCAUUGUGACAUUGACUUCCCCUUCCAUGUGGGAUUAUUCCCUAUGGGCCAUUCUACAGGGCUGGUGACAGCAAGCUAUGGCACUUGUACUGACUACCUUCCCUUGAGAUAAACUACACACCAGCUCUAGCAGAUGGGAGUGAAGCAGCAUAGAGCAUCCUUGGGACCUUCCCAUGCUGCAUCCCCAGUUGCACUACUCCAGAGGCAUGAAAAAACAAGGGAGAUCAGGAUAAAGGGUAUAAAGGAAAACCCCAAUAUUUAUCUUCCACCUCCCCGUGAUCUGCAUUGGACCACGUGAGGAUGCUGAGAGACAUCACUGCUGCCUGUGGGCACAAGCAGGGCUGAGGAUGCAGCUGUAUCAUAGCACACAUCACCAACAUUGGGUACACCAACAGGACCUGAGGUCAGGUGUAAAACCAACACUGCAGUCCGACAUGGGAUAACCCACCUUUCAUCCAGCCCUCUAAGAAAGGAAGACUGGCUUACACCCAGCAACCCGAGA
Long non-coding RNA from Phasianus colchicus (ring-necked pheasant), 1031 nucleotides. RefSeq lists it as uncharacterized. Lineage: Eukaryota; Metazoa; Chordata; Aves; Galliformes; Phasianidae. The record is from RefSeq and is a predicted model, not a curated record.